AACGAACGCUGGCGGCAUGCCUAACACAUGCAAGUCGAACGAGACCUUCGGGUCUAGUGGCGCACGGGUGCGUAACGCGUGGGAAUCUGCCCUUCGGUUGGGAAUAACUGAGAGAAAUUUCAGCUAAUACCUUAUAAUGUCUUCGGACCAAAGAUUUAUCGCCGAGGGAUGAGCCCGCGUAGGAUUAGGUAGUUGGUGGGGUAAUGGCCUACCAAGCCGACGAUCCUUAGCUGGUCUGAGAGGAUGAUCAGCCACACUGGGACUGAGACACGGCCCAGACUCCUACGGGAGGCAGCAGUGGGUAAUAUUGGACAAUGGGCGAAAGCCUGAUCCAGCAAUGCCGCGUGAGUGAUGAAGGCCUUAGGGUUGUAAAGCUCUUUUACCCGGGAUGAUAAUGACAGUACCGGGAGAAUAAGCUCCGGCUAACUCCGUG
Molecule: ribosomal RNA, 433 nt
Filed under: uncultured bacterium
Lineage: Bacteria
Description: partial 16S ribosomal RNA
Rfam family: Bacterial small subunit ribosomal RNA
Source: RNAcentral